AAUAGAGUCAGCUAAAACUAAGCUAUUGGGUUCAUACCCCAAAAAUAAACAUUGUGUUUCUUUAUUA
Molecule: transfer RNA, 67 nt
Filed under: Rhombosepion orbignyanum
Lineage: Eukaryota; Metazoa; Mollusca; Cephalopoda; Sepiida; Sepiidae
Description: tRNA-Met
Source: RNAcentral